RNAcentral lists this ribosomal RNA (253 nucleotides) under uncultured bacterium. RNAcentral describes it as "partial 16S ribosomal RNA". It matches the Rfam family "Bacterial small subunit ribosomal RNA", at positions 524 to 776 of the family's 1533-position model. The record is from RNAcentral.
UACGUAGGGAGCAAGCGUUGUCCGGAAUCAUUGGGCGUAAAGCGCGCGUAGGCGGCCCCGUAAGUCCGCUGUGAAAGUCAAAGGCUCAACCUCGAGACGCCGAUGGAAACCCUCAGACUAGAGUCCGGAAGAGGAGAGUGGAAUUCCUGGUGUAGCGGUGAAAUGCGCAGAUAUCAGGAAGAACACCCGUGGCUAAGGCGGCUCUCUAGUACGGUACUGACGCUGAGACGCGAAAGCGUGGGGAGCAAACAGG